UCUUGACUAGUAUAUCGGUUCAGUACACCCGCUUGUCAUAUCUGUUCAUAGCUGGCGUUUCGCGGGAGAGCAGGGUUCGACUCCCUGGUCGAGAG
Molecule: non-coding RNA, 95 nt
Organism: Mycena galericulata
Lineage: Eukaryota; Fungi; Basidiomycota; Agaricomycetes; Agaricales; Mycenaceae
Source: the annotation of a GenBank genome assembly